CAACAGCGUAUAUUAAAGUUGUUGCAGUUAAAAAGCUCGUAGUUGGAUUUCUGAUCGAGACAUCAGGUCGGGUCCGAGAGGAUCAUGUACUUUGAUUUUGUUUUGAUCAUCCUUGGGGAGAGCAUUUCUGGCAUUCAGUUGUCGGGAUUGGGAUCCUCAUCGUUUACUGUGAAAAAAUUAGAGUGUUCAAAGCAGGCCUCGGCCUCUGAAUACAUUAGCAUGGAAUAAUAAGAUAGGACUUUGGUGGUCUAUUUUGUUGGUUUGCACGCCAAAGUAAUGAUUAAUAGGGAUAGUUGGGGGUAUUCGUAUUCAAUUGUCAGAGGUGAAAUUCUUGGAUUUAUGGAAGACGAACUACUGCGAAAGCAUUUACCAAGGAUGUUUUCAUUAA
Molecule: ribosomal RNA, 388 nt
Filed under: uncultured eukaryote
Lineage: Eukaryota
Description: partial 18S ribosomal RNA
Rfam family: Eukaryotic small subunit ribosomal RNA
Source: RNAcentral